Long non-coding RNA from Prosopis cineraria, 1614 nucleotides. RefSeq lists it as uncharacterized. The record is from RefSeq and is a predicted model, not a curated record. The transcript is spliced from 4 exons. Lineage: Eukaryota; Viridiplantae; Streptophyta; Magnoliopsida; Fabales; Fabaceae.
GUCCGUCUCUAUCGCACGAAAAUGUAACCCCCUUUUCUAUGAUUCCCUUAAAGCAUCCCCUGCAAUCUUCCUUUUUGGUGAUUUCUCCUGCUUAGAGCAGGCCUAAAGGAUGGUAGUCGAUGAUACGAUUUCAUUUCUAUCUUCACUCUUCUCAAAACCACAAACCUAUUUGGCUACACUUAUCAUUUUAGUCCCAUCAUCGAUGCUCUGCAUUUGGUUUCAUGAUCUAGAGUUCUUCUCCUCUUAGAACUCCGGAUCACAAAUGGUGUUCCUUGAGCGGCGGCGAUUUUCACAGCUUCUUCUUCACUAGAGUCUGAUGUGAAUGGCCUUCCUCCGGUGCUUCUAUCUGACAAAUUACAAGGGCACGUGCAUUCUUUUUACAUCGUCACCCAUCUCUCUAAUCUUGCUCUCUCGCUUCUAUGAGUUCUUUUCCCUCUUUCUUCUUCAUCAGUUUCUUUUUUUCAUCACCGUCUUUCCCAUCUCCAAUGCCUUCACUCAUGAACUUCAUGCAUCGAUAGCGAGACUCAGAGGCUCCGACUAACAACGCCUUUUGGGAAAAAAACUGAAGGUUUUAACAUUCCGAGCUCCUCCUUAGGAGAUGCAGUGAAGGAAUCCUGGGGAAUUUUUUGCAGGCGAUAGUAAAGUAGGGUAGGAUUCAUUUUAAUAGCACUCGAAAACUGCAGUGUUGAAGAGAAGGCAUCUAUUUUUGAAGAAAUCCUUCCAUAUUCAUCAAAAUUAGUGAUGGGUGUGUUUGGCAAUUAUGUAAUUUAGAAGGUUUUGUUGCAGGAGAGUAAAAAGGGGUAAAGAGGAAGAGAAAAAGUUGGAAGAAGAAAAGGAUGGGUCGUGGCAGUGGCAGGGAGAGAUCUUAGAUCAUGGCUUAGCAUGGGCUUGCCUAUCAGCAUUGUUUUGAUUAGGCAAGGAAAAAGCCCAUGCUGAGUUAUUUGGUUGCUCGGAACAUAUCACCAUUGUCGUUUAGUUUUUUAGUUGGUGUAGGGUCAUUCAGAGUUACUAUCAUUGCUCUAAGUUUAGCAGGCCAGAUACUGAAUUGUGGAUUGGCAUUAUCCAGGAUCAAGAUUUCAUGAAUUUGGCAAUACAAAAAAUAACCUCUACUAAUAGAAGAAACACAAUAAAGUGAUGAAGACAGCAGUAAGCUUUUGUAUAAAGUUUUUCUUUAACACUAAUAAAGUUGUCUAAUUCAUUUUUUAGUUUAUUUUUGAUUUACAUGUAUCAAAGGUCUUUGCUCAGGUGCAAAGUUAUCAAUUACUUCUUCAUAUAAUAAAAUUGCCAUUUUCUUUUGGUGCAACACCAAUGAUCUCUGCUUCUUAUAAUACAAGACUUGGGGUUCUGUUCUAAUUUAUAUAGAGGUGCAACUAUUUAGGAGGUCUAUGCUUGGACUUGCAAUGAGGCAUUAACCUCCAUAGAAGCUGUUGACAAGUUUUUGGUGUUUAUAUGAGGGUUUAGAUGGUUAAUGGCCUUUUUGUUUUUUUGUUUCCUUUGUGGAUUGUAAUGCUAGGCUUUCUUGAUGGUAAAUUUUGUUUGGUGUAUACAUAUUGAGAAAUAUUGUAGUAAGUUUACAGUUAUGCUAAUAAUUGUUCUUUUUGCGAGAAAUGUAAA